UUUUAGUACAAGUGGUUUAUUUCUCUUCCAGGUGAGGCCGCAUGUAUAUAAGCAAAGGUUUGCCCACCUGGUUCCUUCAGGAACUCCCCGAGGAAUCUGUUUAGUUUCCAUGCAUUAAAAACAACCCUCUAGUUGCCAAUAAUGAAACUUUAAGAAGCAACACUUUGACGUCGCAGAGUUCCUCUCUGCAUGUGACGCGGAUAUACCAAAGUGAGUUUAUGGCAUACAGUAUGCAUGGGUUAAUGUAGGUGAGACAGGGAGUCCCGGCUGCCCUGUGGCCCCAUUCUGUUGUGGAGGCUUCGCUGGGAGCUGAGAACACCCUGCUGUCCAUGUUUUGAUGACAGGUGGUUCUUCCAAAACAGAAGCACCGAGUCACCGCACGCCCCUGCUUCAGUGUGCGAGGCCGUGGGGCUCUGGUGUUGUGAACUCCAGGCUGGCAUUUAAAAGGUGCUGACUUUUAGGCUGGGCGUGGUGGCUCAUGCCUGUAACCCCAGCACUUUGGGAGGCCAAGGC
Long non-coding RNA from Homo sapiens (human), 513 nucleotides. Lineage: Eukaryota; Metazoa; Chordata; Mammalia; Primates; Hominidae. The record is from Ensembl.